AGUGAACGCUGGCGGCAGGCCUAACACAUGCAAGUCGAACGGCAGCACAGCAGUAGCAAUACUGUGGGUGGCGAGUGGCGGACGGGUGAGGAAUACAUCGGAAUCUACCUUGUCGUGGGGGAUAACGUAGGGAAACUUACGCUAAUACCGCAUACGAACUAUGGUUGAAAGCGGCGGACCGCAAGGGCGUCGCGCGAUUGGAUGAGCCGAUGUCCGAUUAGCUAGUUGGCGGGUAAAGGCCCACCAAGGCGACGAUCGGUAGCUGGUCUGAGAGGAUGAUCAGCCACACUGGAACUGAGACACGGUCCAGACCUCCUACGGGAGGCAGCAGUGGGGGAAUAGUUGGACAAUGGGCG
RNAcentral lists this ribosomal RNA (356 nucleotides) under uncultured bacterium. RNAcentral's name for it is "bacterial SSU rRNA". It matches the Rfam family "Bacterial small subunit ribosomal RNA", at positions 29 to 377 of the family's 1533-position model. The record is from RNAcentral.